GUCUGCUUCGGCAGCACAUAUACAACAUUUGGAACAAUAUGGAGAAGGAUUGCAUGGCCACAGCAAAAUCAUGACAUGCAAAUUCAUUCAUGAAGCAUUCCAUAUUAUA
Monodelphis domestica (gray short-tailed opossum) is the source of this 109-nucleotide small nuclear RNA. The record is from Ensembl. Lineage: Eukaryota; Metazoa; Chordata; Mammalia; Didelphimorphia; Didelphidae.